This 72-nucleotide transfer RNA is filed under the name Betaproteobacteria bacterium MOLA814. It matches the Rfam family "tRNA". From Rfam's summary of the family: Transfer RNA (tRNA) molecules are approximately 80 nucleotides in length. Their secondary structure includes four short double-helical elements and three loops (D, anti-codon, and T loops). Further hydrogen bonds mediate the characteristic L-shaped molecular structure. tRNAs have two regions of fundamental functional importance: the anti-codon, which is responsible for specific mRNA codon recognition, and the 3' end, to which the tRNAs corresponding amino acid is attached (by aminoacyl-tRNA synthetases). tRNAs cope with the degeneracy of the genetic code in two manners: having more than one tRNA (with a specific anti-codon) for a particular amino acid; and 'wobble' base-pairing, i.e. permitting non-standard base-pairing at the 3rd anti-codon position. The record is from Rfam by way of RNAcentral. Lineage: Bacteria; Pseudomonadati; Pseudomonadota; Betaproteobacteria.
GGGAUGUUAGCUCAGGGGUAGAGCGUCCGCCUCACACGCGGAAGGUCGCAGGUUCGAAACCCGCACGUCCCA